AUUGAACGCUGGCGGCAGGCUUAACACAUGCAAGUCGAGCGAGCGGCGGACGGGUGAGUAAUGUCUGGGAAACUGCCUGAUGGAGGGGGAUAACUACUGGACACGGUAGCUAAUACCGCAUACCAUCAGAUGUGCCCAGAUGGGAUUAGCUAGUAGGUGGGGUAAUGGCUCACCUAGGCGACGAUCCCUAGCUGGUCGGAGAGGAUGACCAGCCACACUGUAACGGAGACACUGUCCAGACUCCUACGGGAGGCAGCAGUUGGGAAUAUUGGCCAAUGGGCGCAAGCCUGAUUCAGCCAGGCGGAGUGUGUGAAGAAGGCUUUCGGUUUGUAAAACACUUUCAGCGAGGAGGCGUUACUCGCAGAUUAAGCACCGGCUAACUCCGUGCCAGCAGCCGCGGUAAUAC
Molecule: ribosomal RNA, 406 nt
Filed under: uncultured bacterium
Lineage: Bacteria
Description: partial 16S ribosomal RNA
Rfam family: Bacterial small subunit ribosomal RNA
Source: RNAcentral